Molecule: ribosomal RNA, 253 nt
Filed under: uncultured bacterium
Lineage: Bacteria
Description: partial 16S ribosomal RNA
Rfam family: Bacterial small subunit ribosomal RNA
Source: RNAcentral
UACAGAGGGUGCGAGCGUUAAUCGGAAUUACUGGGCGUAAAGGGUGCGUAGGUGGUUCUUUAAGUCAGAUGUGAAAUCCCUAGGCUCAACCUAGGAAUUGCGUUUGAGACUGAGGAACUAGAGUACAGGAGAGGGAAGUGGAAUUUCCGGUGUAGCGGUGAAAUGCGUAGAUAUCGGAAGGAACAUCAGUGGCGAAGGCGACUUCCUGGACUGUUACUGACACUGAGGCACGAAAGCGUGGGGAGCGAACAGG